AUGGAGGUGGAGGCGAGGUACACGGCGCUGCGGCGCGCGGUGGAGGAGGUGGCGGCGGUGGACGCGCACGCGCACAACCUCGUCGCCGGAGGCUCCGCGUUCCCCUUCCUCCGCUGCUUCUCCGAGGCCGAGGGGACGCGCUCGGGCUCGCGCCCCACACCCUCUCCUUCAAGAAUCAAACCCUGCCGAUUACGCUUCCAAACUCAAAAGGCUACCGCAGAACCUGCAGGAAUAUGUAGAAUCGCUUUCUGCAGAUGAAGUUUUGCAUGAACUAAUUGGAGAUAAACUUGUCACAUCCGCUAUAGCUAUACGGAAGGCUGAGAUCGACCACUACGCGAAGAAUCCCGUGGUGUUUAACGAUCUCAUCCACCGUUACUAGGACCAAAGAAUGAAAUGUUGUUGCUGAGAGACUACGUUUCUUUAGAGACUACGUGGAAGAAUAAAUUUUGUUCCAAGGGUUAUUUCAAACUCUCGUGUUCUGUGACUGAACUUG
This is a long non-coding RNA of Phragmites australis (common reed), 493 nucleotides long. RefSeq lists it as uncharacterized. Lineage: Eukaryota; Viridiplantae; Streptophyta; Magnoliopsida; Poales; Poaceae. The record is from RefSeq and is a predicted model, not a curated record. The transcript has 3 exons.